RNAcentral lists this transfer RNA (69 nucleotides) under Cordylochernes scorpioides. RNAcentral describes it as "tRNA-Gly". It matches the Rfam family "tRNA". Rfam says of the family: Transfer RNA (tRNA) molecules are approximately 80 nucleotides in length. Their secondary structure includes four short double-helical elements and three loops (D, anti-codon, and T loops). Further hydrogen bonds mediate the characteristic L-shaped molecular structure. tRNAs have two regions of fundamental functional importance: the anti-codon, which is responsible for specific mRNA codon recognition, and the 3' end, to which the tRNAs corresponding amino acid is attached (by aminoacyl-tRNA synthetases). tRNAs cope with the degeneracy of the genetic code in two manners: having more than one tRNA (with a specific anti-codon) for a particular amino acid; and 'wobble' base-pairing, i.e. permitting non-standard base-pairing at the 3rd anti-codon position. Lineage: Eukaryota; Metazoa; Arthropoda; Arachnida; Pseudoscorpiones; Chernetidae. The record is from RNAcentral.
GCAUCGGUGGUUCAGUGGUACAAUGCUCGCCUGCCACGCGGGCGGCCCGGUCGAUUCCCGGCCGAUGCA